This 104-nucleotide transfer RNA is filed under the name Xanthomonas euroxanthea. RNAcentral's name for it is "tRNA-OTHER". Lineage: Bacteria; Pseudomonadati; Pseudomonadota; Gammaproteobacteria; Lysobacterales; Lysobacteraceae. The record is from RNAcentral.
GGAGGCCGUAGGGGAGAUGGUUCACCCCAAUGGCGCUAUCCAUGCGCCGGAUGACGUGGGUUAAACGCCUGCGAUCAGCGCACGUUCGAACCGUGCCGCCUCCA